GGCGAACGGGUGAGUAACGCGUGGGUGACCUACCUUCGAGUGGGGGAUAACGUUCCGAAAGGAGCGCUAAUACCGCAUGAAGUUCCGGGUUUGAACAACUGGAAACCAAAGUCGGGGAUCGCAAGACCUGGCGCUUGGAGAGGGGCCCGCGUCUGAUUAGCUAGUUGGCGGGGUAAUGGCCCACCAAGGCGACGAUCAGUAGCCGGCCUGAGAGGGCGGACGGCCACACUGGGACUGAGACACGGCCCAGACUCCUACGGGAGGCAGCAGUGGGGAAUUGUUCGCAAUGGGCGCAAGCCUGACGACGCAACGCCGCGUGGGGGAUGAAGGUCUUCGGAUUGUAAACCCUUGUCGAGCGGGACGAACGGCCCGCGGCCUAAUACGCCGUGGGAAUGACGGUACCGCUAAAGGAAGCCACGGCUAACUCUGUGCCAGCAGCCGCGGUAAUACAGAGGUGGCAAGCGUUGUUCGGAAUUACUGGGCGUAAAGGGCGCGUAGGCGGCCUUCUAAGUCAGACGUGAAAUCCCCCGGCUUAACCUGGGAACUGCGUCUGAUACUGGAAGGCUUGAGUGCGGGAGAGGGAUGU
This 586-nucleotide ribosomal RNA is filed under the name uncultured Bacillota bacterium. Its description in RNAcentral is "bacterial SSU rRNA". It matches the Rfam family "Bacterial small subunit ribosomal RNA", at positions 97 to 662 of the family's 1533-position model. The record is from RNAcentral. Lineage: Bacteria; Bacillati; Bacillota.